Molecule: long non-coding RNA, 308 nt
Filed under: Gallus gallus (chicken)
Lineage: Eukaryota; Metazoa; Chordata; Aves; Galliformes; Phasianidae
Source: RNAcentral
CUGGUGGUCCACUAAGAGCAGAUGCAUCCCUCUGCAGAUCGGGAGACGGUGUUGACGAAACAAGCAAUUUUGGAGAGCCUUGCUUAGGAGUAGCAGGCGUGGGUGUAGAAGCAUUUCUUUGAGCUGCAGUCCUCUGACGAAUUUCUUGUCCAGGUCUCGAGGUUGCAGAUGUUCCAGCAGAUGGCAGUUCAGCCUCCUUUGCAUUUGAAUCUGGAUCAAACCUUUCAAGAAUUAGUUUAGCAGUCUUGUAAGUUUCCUUCUCCAUCACUUCCUCAAGUAUUUUUUUCUUUUGAGAUUUUAAAUCUUCC